This 852-nucleotide ribosomal RNA is filed under the name uncultured bacterium. Its description in RNAcentral is "bacterial SSU rRNA". It matches the Rfam family "Bacterial small subunit ribosomal RNA", at positions 28 to 896 of the family's 1533-position model. The record is from RNAcentral.
GACGAACGCUGGCGGCGUGCCUAACACAUGCAAGUCGAGCGGGGAAUCCCUUCGGGGGUUUCCAGCGGCGGACGGGUGAGUAACGCGUGAGCAACCUUUCCUUCACAGGGGGAUAACGCAGCGAAAGCUGUGCUAAUACCGCUUAAGACCACAAUGUCGCAUGACGAAGGGGUCAAAGGAGAAAUCCGGUGAAGGGUGGGCUCGCGUCUGAUUAGCUAGUUGGUGAGGUAACGGCCCACCAAGGCAACGAUCAGUAGCCGACCUGAGAGGGUGAUCAGCCACACUGGGACUGAGACACGGCCCAGACUCCUACGGGAGGCAGCAGUGGGAAUAUUGGGCAAUGGGGGAAACCCUGACCCAGCAACGCCGCGUGAGGGAAGAAGGUUUUCGGAUCGUAAACCUCUGUCCUCAGGGACGAAAUAAAUGACGGUACCUGAGGAGGAAGCCCCGGCUAACUACGUGCCAGCAGCCGCGGUAAUACGUAGGGGGCAAGCGUUGUCCGGAAUGAUUGGGCGUAAAGGGCGCGUAGGCGGCCUGUUAAGUCUGGAGUGAAAGUCCUGCUUUCAAGGUGGGAAUUGCUUUGGAUACUGGCGGGCUGGAGUGCAGGAGAGGUUAGUGGAAUUCCCGGUGUAGCGGUGAAAUGCGUAGAGAUCGGGAGGAACACCAGUGGCGAAGGCGACUAACUGGACUGUAACUGACGCUGAAGCGCGAAAGUGUGGGGAGCAAACAGGAUUAGAUACCCUGGUAGUCCACACGGUAAACGAUGAAUGCUAGGUGUAGGGGGUAUCGACCCCUUCUGUGCCGGAGUAAACACAAUAAGCAUUCCGCCUGGGGAGUACGGCCGCAAGGUUG